GGGCUCGUGGUUUAGUGGUAUAAUACUCCCUUAGCAUCAAAAGAUCGAUUGGGAGUGGUCCGGGGUUCGAUUCCCCGCGAGUCCA
This 85-nucleotide transfer RNA is filed under the name Didymella pomorum. Its description in RNAcentral is "Peyronellaea pomorum tRNA". It matches the Rfam family "tRNA". Rfam says of the family: Transfer RNA (tRNA) molecules are approximately 80 nucleotides in length. Their secondary structure includes four short double-helical elements and three loops (D, anti-codon, and T loops). The record is from Rfam by way of RNAcentral. Lineage: Eukaryota; Fungi; Ascomycota; Dothideomycetes; Pleosporales; Didymellaceae.